CCUACGGGUGGCAGCAGUAGGGAAUCUUCCACAAUGGGCGAAAGCCUGAUGGAGCAACGCCGCGUGGGUGAAGAAGGUCUUCGGAUCGUAAAACCCUGUUGUUAGAGAAGCAAGUGCGUGAGAGUAACUGUUCACGUUUCGACGGUAUCUAACCAGAAAGCCACGGCUAACUACGUGCCAGCAGCCGCGGUAAUACGUAGGUGGCAAGCGUUAUCCGGAUUUAUUGGGCGUAAAGGGAACGCAGGCGGUCUUUUAAGUCUCAUGUGAAAGCCUUCGGCUUAACGGGAGUAGUGCAUGGGAAACUGGGAGACGUGAGUGCAGAAGAGGAGAGUGGAACUCCAUGUGUAGCGGUGAAAUGCGUAGAUAUAUGGAAGAACACCAGUGGCGAAAGCGGCUCUCUGGUCUGUAACUGACGCUGAGGUUCGAAAGCGUGGGUAGCAAACAGGAUUAGAUACCCCAGUAGUC
Molecule: ribosomal RNA, 465 nt
Filed under: uncultured bacterium
Lineage: Bacteria
Description: partial 16S ribosomal RNA
Rfam family: Bacterial small subunit ribosomal RNA
Source: RNAcentral